GACGAACGCUGGCGGCGUGCUUAACACAUGCAAGUCGAACGAUGAAGCCGGAGCUUGCUCCGGUGGAUUAGUGGCGAACGGGUGAGUAACACGUGAGCAAUCUGCCCUUGACUCUGGGAUAACUGCGGGAAACUGUAGCUAAUACCGGAUACGACACCUUGGGGCAUCCCAGGGUGUGGAAAGAAUUUCGGUCAAGGAUGAGCUCGCGGCCUAUCAGCUAGUUGGUGAGGUAAUGGCUCACCAAGGCGACGACGGGUAGCCGGCCUGAGAGGGUGACUGGACACGCUGGAACUGAGACACGGUCCAGACUCCUACGGGAGGCAGCAGUGGGGAAUAUUGCACAAUGGGCGAAAGCCUGAUGCAGCAACGCCGCGUGAGGGAUGAAGGCCUUCGGGUUGUAAACCUCUUUUAGCAGGGAAGAAGCGAAAGUGACGGUACCUGCAGAAAAAGCACCGGCUAACUACGUGCCAGCCGCCGCAGUAA
This 483-nucleotide ribosomal RNA is filed under the name uncultured bacterium. Its description in RNAcentral is "partial 16S ribosomal RNA". It matches the Rfam family "Bacterial small subunit ribosomal RNA", at positions 28 to 523 of the family's 1533-position model. The record is from RNAcentral.